GGGGGCCUUUGGAGGAAGGCAGAAGGUUCUAGUGCAAGGAGGUGAACCCCUUUCCCUCUCACCUCCCCCCAUCCCCAUCCCUACCCACCCCCCAACACACACACACACACGGCCAUGGCUGGGACAGUUAGCAAGUCCUUCCUCCAGCCUGGUCAGACCCAGAGCAGGAAGAGCGCUGUGACAGAGUCCCCUCCCAGAGCCAUGCCUCAGCAGGCUAUUCCCAGGCUGCUCACAAAGGCCCCAUGAAGAACCAGGGCAGGAAUCCAUUUGCCAUGUGCCCCCAUUUUCUAGACACGGACACUGAGUCCCAAAAGGUGAUGUGACAAGCUGGCUAAGAGCCAGGCCUUCUGCAUUCACAGCCUGCCAAGGGGGCCAAGGCGGAGCCACAGUUUCUGCCUGCACAGCAGCCGUUCCCUUCCCUGCUGAGAGGAGGAGGCAGCUCUCCUUUGGUGAACUACAAAGGGAUGUUGUUGAAAAGGGAUGCUCCCGACCAUGAGUGGUCACAUGACCCAAGCCUAGCCAAUCAGAUUCACAGGGAGGGUUUGGGACAAGCUGGGUACCCUAAUUUCCACCAAUGAGAGUCAGGCCUGGGAGUUUUGCUGGAACCCUUGGUUCUGAGAAGGCCAGCUUCUUGAAAAAUGCCCCUGGAGUGUUCUUGGGUUGCUGAAAAGCAGGCCCUGAGAGGAGGCCAGGAGGACAAGGGAUAUUGGGGGUGAUUCCUGUGAAAGAUAAAAGGUGGAGGAAGCAGAACUGGGAAGAAAAGCCUUCAGCCCCUGACAUGAAUCUGACGGCAGCUAUCACAGCGAGACUUGACCUUUGUACAUCAAAGGAGGCUUCUUUACACCCCGCACAGCUUGGAAGGAGUCAGUGAGCAGAACUAGGCCCAGCCGCUGCCUUUGGUUUGUCUUCCUCUGAAGGAAAAAUACGCCAGCAAAGACAACGUUCUAUAA
This is a long non-coding RNA of Homo sapiens (human), 950 nucleotides long. The record is from Ensembl. NCBI's taxonomy places the organism in Eukaryota, Metazoa, Chordata, Mammalia, Primates, Hominidae.